AAGGGAUUGGAUGGUCCUCUGUAAUGAUCUGGAAAUGAUGACAGCAGCUUCAGGAGAUGAAAUUGAAACUAUAAACCCUGAUUUUCAUACUGAGGUCAGUGCAGCCGCCAUUUGACUGAAACAAAAGUGAAGCCAUAAGGAAAAUGGCAGCUGUUUCAGGAACAAUCAGUAAGCUUCUCUUUACAUUUACAAUCAAAUGUGGGUUUAGAGAUCAUGUACACUUAUAACUAUCAAAUGUAUAACUACAUCAGUGUAAACACAGAGUUUUAUUAAAGAGGUUCUUGGAGGUUUGCUGAAAAUUGUAGGAAAGAGUUUGCAAAAGUGUUUUGCAAAAGUGCCUAAUGUUUUUUUUUUUUUUUGACAGUCAAGGUAAAUGUAAAAUUGGUUAAAUAUGUUAUUGAUGUUAUAA
Long non-coding RNA from Cyprinus carpio (common carp), 409 nucleotides. RefSeq lists it as uncharacterized. The record is from RefSeq and is a predicted model, not a curated record. NCBI's taxonomy places the organism in Eukaryota, Metazoa, Chordata, Actinopteri, Cypriniformes, Cyprinidae. The transcript has 2 exons.